GAGCGUUGUAGCUGGUUCCAGAUAUGAAAAUUAAGGAAAAUUAUUGAAAGUUUUUCCUUUUCAGCUCAAAAGUAUGUUUUACUAUUUGAAUCUGUAAAUGUAAAACACAUGUAGAAUGAACAUUUAAAGUUUUAUGCAGAUCGUAUAAACACCCCCAUUCACCUUACAGUGCUUAGACACAGGAUGCACAAGCCAAAGCAAACGACAAUAAGAAAACUCAAAAACUCUCUUACUACAUUCCUCAGCGUAUGUAGGUCGGCUCUUCCUUCAGUCAAAUUCUCCACGGGCGCAGGUCAUUGCAUGUUGGUAAGAGAGGAUGAAAAACAAGAUCUCUUCAAAUUAAUGGACCUUCUCAUCUACGCUUAUUGUCGCUCUUGAAUCCACUCCGCAGUUGUGCUCUCUUAAAUGUAAGCAUCAAACCACGCAGCGAAAUUGCUCCCGCUCUUAAUUUUCCACCCCCUCUUCAGGUCAUUGCACUAACAUCACCAGCAGCAGGAGCAGAGGACCAAUGGCUAAACACUCUUCAAACCUCUUUUUUGAUGAAGAUCUCAUCCCAUCUUCCUCUGCCCUCAAUGCUGCCCUCACUUGCUCUCUUUGAUUGCAAUUGAAAAAGAGCGCUAGUGAAAUUUAAGUUGCCGGCGCAACGCGUGUUUGUUAAUGUCGUAUAGGAAAAAGUGUUAAAUAAUGAUGGAAAGGCUCGGAAAAUUGUGAAAAAGCCCGUGUGAUACGUGUACAUACAUAGCUAGUGUUUAAAAG
Molecule: long non-coding RNA, 756 nt
Filed under: Drosophila guanche
Lineage: Eukaryota; Metazoa; Arthropoda; Insecta; Diptera; Drosophilidae
Source: RNAcentral